UGAUGGGCAGGAGCCACGGAGGGUUUACAGGAAGGAGAGGCUGGGUGUCUGGAAAUGGAGUGGGGUGAGCCCCGAGAUCCGGGGCCGCGGGUAGGCUUUGUGCAGGAGGUGAGCACUGGGCUGCGAGGCUGGUUGUGUUGCCAAGUGGCACCUGUGACAGGGUGUGUGCAGGCUCCGUCCGGGCAGGCUCGCUGGCCUGGCACAGUCAUCUGCAUCUCUGUUGGGUCCCAGGCAUCAGCUAACUGUCCUCUCAGACCUUAGUUGGGGCGCAGGGAGACGGAGGGUCCUCUGGGUCCUGGGUAGAGCUGGCCAGAGCUGCUGGCCGCCUGGAGUGUGCGCCUCCACCUUUGCCCUGGACCCUGGACCGCGUCCCCAAUGGCAUUUGCCAUCCCCCACCCUGCCACGUGCAGAGCCACAAGCCAAAGCAACUUCCCUUCCCUGACACCCCUCAACCCCCCUCCCACUGACUGGACGCACAUCCUGUCCCUGGCCAGAUGGGCAGGCUCGGGGCCUUGAGUCACCGUGGCCUGGGGUCAGACCCAGGCUCAGCCACAGAGGCUGCGGAGGUGGUGGAGCGCCCCGAUUUACCAGCAGAGGCCAUGGGGAGCAGAGUGGCUGCCCGUCCCAGCCCGUGCGCAGGGCCCCAGCUCGGGUGCGCAGAGGCCCCUUGGGGCACUUGGGGUUCUGAGUCCUCCCAGCUCAACUCUGCCCAGGCUGGACCACAGGAGCCGGGGAGCCUCCGAGAGCUCCCGCCCGCCUGCCUUGGGCCUGCUGA
Long non-coding RNA from Myotis davidii, 775 nucleotides. RefSeq lists it as uncharacterized. The transcript is spliced from 3 exons. The record is from RefSeq and is a predicted model, not a curated record. NCBI's taxonomy places the organism in Eukaryota, Metazoa, Chordata, Mammalia, Chiroptera, Vespertilionidae.